AGAGCUCUUAUGAAAGAGACCCCAGAGAGAUCCCUUGCAAGUUCCACCAUGUGAGGAUACAGGGAGAAAAUGGCAGUCUAUGAACCAGGAAGCAAGUCUUCACCAGAACCCAGCUGUGCUAGCACCCUGAACUCAGGCUUUCAGCCUCCAGAACUAUCCUCAGAGCUUUAUAGCCUUUCAGUUGAGAAAUAUGAAACACUGAAAAUCAAAAACAAAUGCUGGAAAUCUUCUAUCAGGAGUUCUUCUACAGAUUGAAAACCUGCACAGUAGAGAAUACAACCUAAGGAGUAUUUUACAUGCCUUCCUUUGUAUCAGGGCAGACUCAUGAUUAGUGGACUUGGAAGUUCAUAAAAUUUGGAGGGUCCUCUUUAAGAAAGAGAGGAAAAGGUUAUAAAUACAAAAUUAGAUGCAAAGCCUGCCACCAUGUAAGAUAUGCCUUUCACCUUCAGCCAUGAUUGCGAGGCCUCCCCAGCCUGAUGGAAUUAAAAACCAUGCCUUUCCUAUGUGGAUAAUCAGCAAAGCUGAGGACAUCGGGAAGCAACUCAGGAUUGCCAGUUUACAGCUCUUCUGGAUGUGCACUGGUUAAUGCAUGGAAUUCAGCAACAGCAGACUUUGUUCCUUUGAUGGAUCCAGAAGAUCGCCACAUCAAGGAAUAUGGUGGUAAAACUGCAAGAUAAUCUGCCACCCCUAACAACUAUAGAAGUUCUAAGGAUGUUAGAGACUCAUAGAGAGGAAUUCUAAUGGCCAUACUUGAACCGUUGCAGCAAUACACUCAGAAGAUUGGUGAAAGAAAAGAAAGGCAUUUUGAAAGUGAUUUUCAAAAAACAGUUAAUCCAGAAUUCCAUAUUUAGCAAAAUUAUACUUCAAGAAUGAAUGUGACAUGAUAAUGUCAAUGAAAAGAAAAACAAAAUAAUUUGUCACCCCAAAAAAUUAUUGAACAAGAAUGCUAAAGAAAGUAGUGUAUAACGUAUAUGGCUGUGAAAUAUAUUAUGAUUAAAGCCUAGAGGAUUUUGGAAGAUGUGUUAAAUGGG
Molecule: long non-coding RNA, 1031 nt
Organism: Homo sapiens (human)
Lineage: Eukaryota; Metazoa; Chordata; Mammalia; Primates; Hominidae
Product: long intergenic non-protein coding RNA 448
Source: Ensembl